RNAcentral lists this ribosomal RNA (460 nucleotides) under uncultured bacterium. RNAcentral describes it as "partial 16S ribosomal RNA". It matches the Rfam family "Bacterial small subunit ribosomal RNA", at positions 338 to 795 of the family's 1533-position model. The record is from RNAcentral.
CCUACGGGAGGCAGCAGUGAGGAAUAUUGGUCAAUGGGCGGAAGCCUGAACCAGCCAAGUAGCGUGCAGGAUGACGGCCCUACGGGUUGUAAACUGCUUUUAUACGGGAAUAACGCGCCUUACGUGUAGGGCUUUGCAUGUACCGUAUGAAUAAGGACCGGCUAAAUCCGUUCCAGCAGCCGCGGUAAUACGGAGGGUCCGGGCGUUAUCCGGAUUUAUUGGGUUUAAAGGGAGCGUAGGCCGCAUUUUAAGCCAGCUGUGAAAGGUUCGGGCUCAACCGGGGCAUUGCAGCGCGAACUGGCGGGCUUGAGUCCGCGGAAGGCAGGCGGAAUGCGUGGUGUAGCGGUGAAAUGCUUAGAUAUGACGAAGAACCCCGAUUGCGAAGGCAGCUUGCUGCAGCGUAACUGACGCUGAUGCUCGAAAGCGCGGGUAUCGAACAGGAUUAGAUACCCCUGUAGUC